GCGGAGGAGGCUGCAGCGUGUGGAUGUUUGUGUUGGGCACCUUUAACAUCUAGGAGCGCUCCACAGAUAGAAAGCAUAAAACAAUACAAAGCAUCAGACUCGACACACCAGAAAUAAAGUGACUGGUAAAUGCCCGGAGCAUCCAGUGCACAGAUGGGGCCGGUUUUUAACCAGCGCCUCGUCGGGUGCUUGUUCGGGGCCUCUCGUGUCUGACUGGGCUCUGUGCGGGUUGAUGAGGGCGGUGCAGGAGCCGUAAUCAGCCCAGUCCUUGUACAAACACGUGUGCGUGUGUGUGUGUGUGUGGCCUCAGCUGUGCAGUCGCUCCACAUUCAGGACACGGCCGUGUGUUUGUUAACAUGGAGAUAAUAAAAUCUCAUAGAGUAAUAAAAAUAUUAGACAAUGCAAAGCUUUGGGCUAAAAUAGAACAAUCUGAGACAUUUUUAUCUGUAAAUACAUGGCUGUGUUUAUUAAUAGUGUGUAAGGUUUGAUUAAUGCUGCAGAGUGAAUCCUGCAGCACAGCGGACGCGUCUCGGCCUGUUGUUGCGCCGCGCGGCCACCAGGGGGCAGUGUUUAUCUGCAGUGCGUCGCCAGAGUAAACAGCCGGGGCUAAUUGAUGUCAGGUGCUGGAUCCGGCUCAGCGCUUCAAACACUUGCAAAACAGAAAAGUUCAACACAAACGCCUCAGACGUCGAGCAGAUUUAAAUGUGAUCCAAACACUAAGAGGGCGCCACCGUUGCAGAGCGUCCGGUCCGUUUGCGUUGAGCCCAGCGGGUCUUUGUCCCCACCUGCUCGGACCCCGGCCGCCUUUUGAUUUAAUUAAAGCCAAGAAGGUGCAUCCAUUUCAGCGUGCGCCGGGGACGUGACAGUACACAAAUUGAAACAGCAAUUAUGAAUCCGGACCCGUCUCCCUCCCAGAUGAGUCUCCGGCUCGGACCCGGGCUUCCGGCGGAAGUGAACGGGCUCCGAGGCCCAUUAAUGAACAGCAGAGGCGCUCACGGUUGCCUCCAUUGUAUCAGAAUGGAUGUCUGUCCACGCGCCAAGUGGCCAUUAGCGCCAAUAUGCCAAUAUGCCUGUACACCCAACAGGCUCAGGAUCCUAGUGAUCCCAGCACUCAGCCAGUCAGCAGCUGAUUCCUGCAGCAUUAAAACUGUAUCAACAUACUAAUGAGCAAUAAACAUUUAUCAACUGUGAUA
Betta splendens (Siamese fighting fish) is the source of this 1193-nucleotide long non-coding RNA. RefSeq lists it as uncharacterized. The transcript is spliced from 3 exons. Lineage: Eukaryota; Metazoa; Chordata; Actinopteri; Anabantiformes; Osphronemidae. The record is from RefSeq and is a predicted model, not a curated record.